GCGUGAAUGAAGAAGGCCUUAGGGUUGUAAAGUUCUUUUAGUGGGGAAGAUAAUGACGGUACCCACAGAAAAAGCCCCGGCUAACUCCGUGCCAGCAGCCGCGGUAAUACGGAGGGGGCUAGCGUUGUUCGGAAUUACUGGGCGUAAAGCGCACGUAGGCGGCUUGGAAAGUUGGAGGUGAAAGCCCAGAGCUUAACUCUGGAACUGCCUUCAAAACUCCCAAGCUAGAGUUCGGAAGAGGAGAGUGGAAUUCCCAGUGUAGAGGUGAAAUUCGU
This 275-nucleotide ribosomal RNA is filed under the name uncultured bacterium. Its description in RNAcentral is "partial 16S ribosomal RNA". It matches the Rfam family "Bacterial small subunit ribosomal RNA", at positions 399 to 691 of the family's 1533-position model. The record is from RNAcentral.